GUGAAGUGCACUGACGUAAUAUAAUCAACAAUUCAGAUCGAGACAAACACGCACGUGGAAAGAUAAAGGUAACACUUUUCGUAACUCGAUGAAAGAAGGCAAUGUACAUAAAGUAAUACUAAUGCAGACAGAGAUGCCAUCAGGUGGGUCCAUAAAAAGCCAGUUGCAUAGACCCGAAUUAUCGGAUCGGGUCUGAAUAGAGACAACAUAUCCAGGUCCAACUUUCGCGGCCCAGUCUGAAAUUAGAUGAGGUGUAAUACCAAACUUUCAGAGCGGCUAUGCCAGCAAAGACCGUCGUCAUGGUAUCCAACAUCGAGGUACCAUUGCCGCCCACGUUUCUCAGCCAGAAGUAACGGAACAAACUCCCCUUUCAUGUGCAAAACUACUAACUAGUUGCCACCAAACCCAGCCCAUCAACUAUGUGCACGUGGCCUAUCCUUACUCGACCAACUCAACCACCAUUUCUAUGAUUUUCCGUCCCUGAAUAAUCUUCCUUUCAACAAACUUUCAAUUCUUUCUUUCCUUUCCUUCUUUCCUUUCAAUCCAAAUCCCUUCCCUCUCCCCUCUCCCAAACGGAAUCAUGGGGACUGAUAUAUCAGAGCCGUUGCUUCUGCCCGAUUCUAGCAAAAUCCAGGCCGUUGACGCCGAGCGGAUCCCAGAGUGGAAGGAUCAGAUCACGAUUAGAGGCCUUGUAGUUAGCGCCCUGUUGGGUACGCUCUUCUGCAUCAUUACCCACAAGCUCAAUCUCACCGUUGGCAUUAUCCCCUCGUUGAAUGUCGCUGCUGGUUUGCUCGGCUUCUUCUUUGUCAAGUCAUGGGUUGGAUUCUUAUCCAGUUUGGGUUUCACAAUUUCUCCCUUUACCAAACAGGAGAACACUGUUAUCCAGACCUGCGUCGUCGCUUGCUAUGGCCUCGCUUUCAGCGGAGGGUUUGGGUCGUAUUUGAUCGCAAUGGACGAGAGAACUUAUGAAUUGAUAGGUCCUGAUUACCCUGGUAACAGGGCAGAGGAUGUCAAGAACCCAGGAUUGGCCUGGAUGAUUGGAUUCUUGUUUGUUGUCAGCUUCCUUGGACUUUUUAGUCUUGUUCCCCUUCGCAAGGUUAUGGUCAUGGAUUAUAAGCUUACAUAUCCCAGUGGGACAGCUACAGCAAUGUUGAUAAAUAGCUUUCACACAAACACGGGAGCUGAGCUUGCAGGGAAACAAGUCACUUGUCUUGGAAAGCACUUGAGCAUAAGUUUGGCUUGGAGCUGCUUUAAGUGGUUCUUUAGCGGUAUUGGGGAUUCAUGUGGAUUUGACAAUUUCCCAAGUUUUGGUUUAACACUAUUCAAAAACACGUUUUAUUUUGACUUCAGUCCAACUUAUGUUGGAUGUGGUCUUAUUUGCCCUCACAUAGUCAACUGCUCAGUUCUUCUGGGGGCUAUAGUCUCGUGGGGCUUUCUGUGGCCCUUCAUCUCCCAACAUGCUGGGGACUGGUAUCCAGCUGACCUGGGUAGUAAUGAUUUUAAGGGUCUUUACGGAUACAAGGUCUUUAUAGCCAUUUCUCUUAUCCUUGGGGAUGGCCUUUACAAUUUGAUCAAGAUAAUUGCAAUAACUAUUAGGGAAAUAUGCAAUAAAAGCACCAAGGAGAAUCACCUUCCUAUCGUCAGGGAGUUUCAAGAUGGUGAGACUUCCGAAUUGCUAGUGGAACAGAGAAAGCGAGAUGAGGUAUUUCUGAAUGACAGAAUACCCUCCUGGUUUGCAGCUUCUGGAUAUGUGUGCCUGGCUGCAAUAUCAACAGCAACAAUUCCAAUCAUUUUUCCACCCCUCAAGUGGUAUUUGGUUCUCAGUUCAUACGUUAUUGCCCCUGCCCUUGCCUUCUGUAAUUCCUAUGGCACUGGGCUAACAGACUGGAGCUUGGCGUCAACCUAUGGAAAAAUUGGUCUUUUCAUCAUUGCUUCAAUGGUUGGGAGUAAUGGAGGAGUUGUAGCUGGAUUAGCAGCUUGUGGGGUGAUGAUGUCAAUUGUCUCCACUGCAGCUGAUCUCAUGCAGGAUUUCAAGACUGGUUACCUCACUCUAUCAUCAGCCAAAUCUAUGUUUGUGAGCCAGUUGAUAGGCACAGCCAUGGGUUGUGUUAUAGCCCCAUUGACAUUUUGGAUGUUUUGGACUGCUUUUGAUAUUGGAGCACCAGAUGGUCCAUACAAAGCUCCAUAUGCAGUAAUAUUCAGGGAGAUGGCCAUAUUAGGUAUUGAGGGCUUCUCUGAGCUGCCCAAACAUUGCCUGGCCAUGUGUUGUGGUUUCUUUAUAGCCGCUUUGGUUAUAAAUCUUCUGAGAGAUGUAACUCCUAAGAAGAUCUCACAAUUUAUUCCUAUUCCAAUGGCUAUGGCUGUCCCGUUUUAUAUCGGAGCUUACUUUGCAAUUGAUAUGUUUGUCGGGACAGUGAUAUUAUACAUCUGGGAGAGAAUAAAUCGGAAGGAUGCAGAAGAUUAUGCUGGGGCAGUUGCAUCAGGUUUGAUAUGCGGCGAUGGGAUCUGGACAAUACCAUCAGCAAUCCUCUCUAUUUUCAGGAUCAAUCCCCCCAUAUGCAUGUACUUUGGGCCUUCUUUGAGUAACUGAGUAGGGUAGCUGAUGGAUGUGUUGUAAUAUAUGUAAUACGUUAUUUGAACUGCAGUGUUCAUUGGAUUCUGUAAAUGUGUGUGGUGUUUGAUUAUUUAGAAGUUUCAAGCACAGAUUUGAAAAAUGGAAAACAAUUUGAAAAGUGGAAA
RNAcentral lists this unclassified non-coding RNA (2739 nucleotides) under Hevea brasiliensis (rubber tree). Lineage: Eukaryota; Viridiplantae; Streptophyta; Magnoliopsida; Malpighiales; Euphorbiaceae. The record is from RNAcentral.